GAUAAAAUCAUAAAAUGUUUCAUUCCUAAGCAUCGAAUGGAAUUAAACAUUUUAUGAUUUUAUCAGAAGAUAACCUUUUAUUUUUUAAGAGUAUAAAGAGAAAAAAAAAGAGUGAUACUGUGAGUUCAGAGAAAAAAGAAGUAGGUUCAGGAGAAAGUCGGACAAAUGAGACUAGCUCCAUUAAUAAAGGGCAAGAAAAAAAGAAAAUUUAAUAAAACAACCUAGUGCUAUUAAGAAUACUCAAAAAUAUGUGGAAAAGGUAACAAGUGAUAAAAUUGCUAGUAAUACUGACAUAAGUGACAAAACAGAAGUAAUAAACAAAGGUGAUAAUACAGAGGAACAAACUAAUUAUAGUGAAAACAAAAGCAAUCAACCUAACGAAAGUUAUAACAAUAAGAAUACAGAAUUAAUUGAAAGUAAAACAUACACAGAAGAAAAAGACGACAUAAAAGAUAAAAUUGAAACAGCAAAGAAUGUAGAACUAAAAGAGGAAAUAAAAGCUGAAGUAGAAACUGCAAAAAUGUAGAAACAAAAGGAAAAACAGAAGAUUCAUCAGAUGUAGUUAGUAAAACAACAGAAGAUAUAACUAAGAGUCGUAUGGAGCAACAAGGAGAUAGAGUCGAAUAUUCAGUUCAUGGUACACUUGGACCGACUUCACAAAACUUAGAGAGUUUAUUUGUAAAAGAUAAAAAAACCAUUUAUUUCGGUGCUUUUAAAAAAAAUGCAAAAAAAAAGAAGUUAUGAUUCGAAUUUUGUGUUGGAUGAAAAAAAUAACAUCAAAAUGAAAAGAAAAAAAAGUGAAAAUGUAGAAAAAAAGUUAAAAAAAAAUAGUUACAAAACUAGUUCUAAUGAUAAAUGUGCAGUAAAAAGUAAAAAAAAAAAAAAAAAAAAAAAAAAAAAAAAAAAAAAAAGCAAUAAAAAAAAAGCAGACAACCAUAGCAGCAAUGAUGAUAAAAAAAAAAAUAAACAUGCUAAUAAAAAACAUACGUCAAGUAAAUAUGAAGAAAAAGACAAAUUAAAUAUAUUAAGCAAAAAAGAUGACAUAAAUAAUAAACAAAAAAUAAAAAAAGAAUUGAACAAAAACGAAACAAAUAAAACAAAGGAUAUAAAAAACAAAACAAAACAAAAAGAAACGGAAAACGAAAAUAAAAAUAGUGACGACGACAAGGAAGAAAAAAAAAAAGAGAGCAAAGGUUCAGAAGAAAGAAGGGUUUACAUUCAUUUAGAAAGCCCAUUAUCAAUUUUAACAUGUGGAGGAUUGAUAAGCUCUAAAAAACUAAUUGAAGCUCAAACCGUUUUAAUUGAAAACAAUAAAAGAUUAGAAAAGGCAAAAAAUAACUGUUCUGUAAACAAUACCAAGACAAAAGAUGUAGAUAAUAAUAGCUGUGAAAAAGAAGAAAAGGAACAUAAUAAAAAAAACAAGAAAAAAACAAACUCUUUUUUAUUUUCAAACUCCUUGGCAGUUGAAGUAGACCUCAGUAGUUGUUUUUUUUUUCAUUCUUCUUUUACUUGUCCUAUAAGUCGCGACAGGUCAACAAAAACAAACCCACCUUAUUUAUUAACUUGUGGCCACGCAAUUUGCAAAAAUUGUUUAGACAAAAUUCACAUUCAAAAAUCCAGACAAUUCAAAUGUCCCAUGUGUCCUAAGUAUUUAUUUUUAUCUGAUGUAAUCCCUUUAAAAUUUAAUUAAAAAAAAUAAAGAGUCAAGUAUAUCUCUUUUGCUUUUCGUU
Piliocolobus tephrosceles (Ugandan red Colobus) is the source of this 1730-nucleotide long non-coding RNA. NCBI's taxonomy places the organism in Eukaryota, Metazoa, Chordata, Mammalia, Primates, Cercopithecidae. The record is from Ensembl.